Molecule: long non-coding RNA, 561 nt
Organism: Bubalus bubalis (water buffalo)
Lineage: Eukaryota; Metazoa; Chordata; Mammalia; Artiodactyla; Bovidae
Exons: 2
Source: RefSeq, a predicted model, not a curated record
CUGUGGGCUCAAACCGCAGCGCAGGAGUCUCGGCCAAUCCACUAGCGAGAUGUGAAUGUUGCGGAACUUCCGCGCGCUAGAGAAUGGAGGGCUCUGUGUGGUGCGCACUAAAGGCAGCUGCCCACGAAUCGAAAGUGAAGUGGUAGGAAUGUUCGACGCACCACAGGAACCGAAGCUAAAGGACUGACUCCAAGACCAGUCACAGGACCUGAGAAGUAGCUGUAGUUGAACUCUAGGCUCACACAAGGCCUUUGUAAGCCCUCCUUGUGCUUUCUUUCUAUUGUCUGUCUCAUAUGCCAACCCUUAGAAAACAUCUGCCCUCUAUUUACAUCUGCGCACAAGAAGUCUGAAAGCUGGAUAUUUUUCAUGCCUUGAUCUGAGUAUUACUGCUCUUCAAUAAUUGUGAUAAAAUACAAAUGGCAUAAAAGUUACCAUCUUAAUCAUUAAGUAUACAGUUCAGUAGUGUUAAGUAUAUUAUUUACAUUGUUGUACAACCAAUCUCCAGAACUUCUGGAACCUGCAAAACUGAAACUCUGUACCAUUAAACAACUCUCCAUUAAC